AUUUAAGAUUAAAGGGUACACUACAUAACUGUAAUUUCUUUGAUUUGAAAUAACUCUAUAUGUGUUACUGUUUUGGAUAAUUGAAACUAGAGCUUGUAACGUAAUAAUGUGAAUCAUAUCAAGCAGGGGAGAACUACGAUAUCAUCAACAAUUAAAACCGCACAACAUGCGGUGGCGGCAGUGCGCGGCUGCGUGCACGUGAUUAGCACUGGCAGCAUGGCAGCUUACCUUCUGUUGCUCCUCCUCUGCCUCGUCCACUGCCACACCAAGACCGUGCUGCAGGAUAAACUUGCGGGUGUCCGCACAGUGGACGUACAGG
Molecule: unclassified non-coding RNA, 319 nt
Filed under: Melitaea cinxia (Glanville fritillary)
Lineage: Eukaryota; Metazoa; Arthropoda; Insecta; Lepidoptera; Nymphalidae
Description: misc RNA ENSMCXG00005006347.1
Source: RNAcentral